UACGAAGGGUGCAAACGUUGCUCGGAAUUAUUGGGCGUAAAGCGCACGUAGGCGGCUUGGCAAGUCGGAUGUGAAAGCCCUCGGCUCAACCAAGGAAGUGCAUCCGAAACUGCUGAUCUUGAGUACUUAAGAGGAUCGCGGAAUUCCCGGUGUAGAGGUGAAAUUCGUAGAUAUCGGGAGGAACACCAGUGGCGAAGGCGGCGAUCUGGGAAGAUACUGACGCUGAGGUGCGAAAGCGUGGGGAGCAAACAGG
This 253-nucleotide ribosomal RNA is filed under the name uncultured bacterium. Its description in RNAcentral is "partial 16S ribosomal RNA". It matches the Rfam family "Bacterial small subunit ribosomal RNA", at positions 524 to 776 of the family's 1533-position model. The record is from RNAcentral.